Molecule: long non-coding RNA, 3306 nt
Organism: Cyprinus carpio (common carp)
Lineage: Eukaryota; Metazoa; Chordata; Actinopteri; Cypriniformes; Cyprinidae
Source: Ensembl
AUAUUACUGCCUUUUUGAGCAAUUGUGUUUGUGUCCUUUCUGUGUGACACUGGCUGCUUCCGUUUUUGUGAGAUAUUAAUUUUAGGAUGACUAGAAUAAUGAUGGUGUUUUUCCGAGCCAGUAGUCUCACGACACGCAGUGCAGUUGGACUUCAGGUGACCAGAGUUUGAAUCCUGCCUCAUGGUCCUUUCUGAUCCUGUCCCCCUUCUCACUCCCAUUUCACUUCCUGUCCACUCUCUUACUACAGUAUAUUAUCUGAGAAAAAGGCCAAACAACAACAACAACAACAACAGAUGAUAGGGUUUAAAUUAAUAUCAUAUACUGUAAAAGAGAACUCUUAAACCUUGUGUUUGCAGUGUAUAUGCAUGUGAGUCAUGAAGGUUAUCUCUUCUCCAGAUGUUCACUGAUGGACUGGAGUGCUGUGGAUUACUUGUGGAUUAUUGUGAUGUUUUUAUCAGCUGUUUGGACUCUCAUUCUGACGGCACCCAUUCACUGCAGAGCAUCCAUUGAUGAGACACUGAUGCAGUGCUACAUUUCUACAAACCUGAUGAAGAAACAAACUCAUCUUGAUCUCGGAUGAACUGAGGUAAACACCAGCAUCACAUCUGUGAAAAUUUGCAAAACUGUGGUUUACAAGUGAAAGCCUGACCUGUCGAGUGAUUGCAAACUUAAGCAUAUAUAAGUAAGACCCCCUGCUCCCACAUCUCAGAGCUCUGCAUCUGCAUCUGACAAAGAGACUGGAACAUGAGCAGUUUCAAAGUAAUCCUUUUAGUCAGCAUCAGCACACAAUGUUUGAUGUGUGCAGCCACUGUGAAUGUGACUGUCCAGCUGGAGCAGAAUGUGACUCUGCCCUGUUACAUCAACUCCAGCUCUGAGAUGGCAUGGUAUCGACUGAGCUCUGAGAAGAUUGCUUUACUCAUAUCUGCAGCAAGAGGAAAACUUCAAAAAAAAGAUUUCAUUACUUACCAUAAUGAGGAUCAAAGUCACUUCCGGCUGGAGGCAGACAGGGGGCUUGACUCCGUCAGCCUAACCAUCACUGGGGUCAGAGAGUCAGAUCUGGGGCUGUACUACUGCGCUCUUGGCAUCAGUGCAAACACAAUGCAUUUUGGGACUGCUGUCAGACUCACAUUUGCAGACGCUGAACUGCACCGCUCAUGGGCUAGCGUGGGCUGCAGGACACUUUUGGUUUGUGCCUAUGUUGUAUGUGGUUUCUGCGCUAUUCUCUGCAUGUGUGUGCUUUGUCACAGGCAAGGUUCUUCCAGGGUCUCUUGCAUCAACUGUGUGAAAGAAAGCUCAAAUGUCAAGGCAGCACAAGUACAGUAUUCCAGUCUCCGGUUCAUCAGAGGGUCCAGACCCGCGGCUCCGGCUCCUGCUCCAGUUAACGUGACCUACGCAGCUAUAGCCAACCACACAUCCUGAUUCAAUGCAUUUACUCAGCUUCAGAUGAAACUAGUCUACUAUACCGACACCUAUACUUUGAACUUAUGCCAAAGCCUGUGGAAAAAAAGAAAAAAGUCAUUUAUACACUACCAUUCAAAAGUUUGGGAUUGGAAUGAUUUUAUAAUGUUUUUGAAGGAAGUUUAUUUUGCAAUUUGAAUUUGAUUUAAAUACAGUAAAUAAUGUGACAUAUUUGUGAAAGUUUUCUAUUUGAAUAUAUUUAAAAACUAUCUUUUCAGGAUUUUAUCAGGAUUCUGAUACAGUAUAUAGAAAUUCCAAAAGAACCGCAUUUAUUUAAAAAGAAAUAUUUUGUAACAAACGUCUUUUGAACAAUUUAUAUAUAUUUUUUAUAUUGAGGACAGAAGAAAACAUAUAUUUAUAUUUUAUAUAUAUUUAUAUAUGUUGAAUGGUAGUGUAUAUUACAUGUGCUAUAUUAUGCCUGCUAUAUUUUAUUGUUUCUUUUUCAUUUGUUUGAUUAUAUAUAAGCUACUGUAGCUUUUGCAGAAUGACAUAUAAAGAUGUUUUCGGUUUAUUUUCACUUAUCAUUGAAAAUCACUCAUAUGGACUGUACGUGUGCAGUGUAAAUGAUGAAUGAAGAGAUGAGUGUUUUUAUGAGUGUGGAGUAAAUGACAUGCUGUCUGCUGCUCAGCUGUCUGUCUGUCUGUCUCUCUCCAGUGCUGCACACCCAGAGACGCGUACUGGAUUUCCCCCUGAACACACAUGCACACACUCACACACACACACACACACAUACACUCACACAUGUUUGUUUUUGUGAAAAGUGGGGACAUCCCAAAGGUGUAAUGGUUUUUAUACUGUACGAACUGUAUAUUCUAUCGCCCUACACCAACCCUACACCUAACUCUACCCCUUACAGGAAACUUUGUGCAUUUUUACUUUCUCAAAAAAAACUCAUUCUGUAUGGUUUAUAAGCGUUUUGAAAAAUGGGGACAUGGGUUAUGUCCUCAUAAGUCACCCUCUCCUUGUAAUAUCUGUGUCAUACCCAUGUCAUUAUACAAAGUUGUGUCCUGAUAUGUCACAAAAACACACACACACACACAUAUUAGCACAACUAAUAUAGAUUACUCCAGCCAUAUUUGCAUCAUUAUUAUAGUACCAUGUACAUUAUUUCUUACAGAAACAUCAAACUGUUGUCACUUUGAAGUAAACAUUUUCAUUGGUCAUAAACUACAAACAUCUCUGGAUGUUGAUUGGUGAAGAAAGAAACUCACUGCAUCCUCAUGACUGUCCAACAUCCAGAGGCCUGAUAAACAACACAGGAUCACUGUUUGAAAUGAAAUAACCCGAGUGAUGUCAUAAUGACCUUUGAUGAAACCAUUUCAUCAUAAUGGUGCUGAAAUAAUGCAUAUUGAAUGCAUAAACACCCUGAUCUCAAAGCAUUACAUUUUUCCAUCUCUGCCUUCCUUCAUUUGACAUCCUUUGUAAUUGUAGACCUGAUGCGAUGUCUGUCAGGUCUGGGGGGGAAAAAUCAAUUAAACAUUAACUAGAAUUAAAUUCAUUAUGUUAUUUAUUGUUUGUGUUUUAAUUUACAUUUUGGCAAAACAUGGAGGAGUCCAAGUCAAACGCAUCUGUUUCUUUUUUAAUGUUUUUUCUCCUUCUUCGGUUCUUCCAGCCGACAAUCACAGACAGAAGGCCGACACAAACUAUCCCCAGUAUGCACAAAGCCAGCAGGACGGCCACUGUUACUAACACACACACACACAUUCAUGUUUUACACACUCUACAGUGCUAUAGUCUCAGUUUAUUAAGCCUGAAUAACUUUGACCUACAUUGAGAUCAGAUGCUUGUCAAAGUAUUAUAACACGGUAAAGAAAACCUUAAAAACAAAUAAAACAAAAACAUGACACA